RNAcentral lists this non-coding RNA (24 nucleotides) under Arabidopsis thaliana (thale cress). Lineage: Eukaryota; Viridiplantae; Streptophyta; Magnoliopsida; Brassicales; Brassicaceae. The record is from RNAcentral.
CCUGGUCAUUAGGCUCAAAGGUCC